CUGAAGUGUUUGGGGGAACUCUUGGUGUCACCAAGCAUUUAGUAGACAUUGGCCACAUAUCAUAAGAGAGAUGCAUCAAUGGGCUGAAUGUUUGGUCUUACCAUGGGUUCCUUGCAAGCACUUC
Molecule: microRNA precursor, 124 nt
Filed under: Triticum aestivum (bread wheat)
Lineage: Eukaryota; Viridiplantae; Streptophyta; Magnoliopsida; Poales; Poaceae
Description: miR395b stem-loop (tae-MIR395b)
Gene: tae-MIR395b
Source: miRBase by way of RNAcentral